AUCACUUCUCGGCCUUUUGGCUAACAUCAAGUGUAGUAUCUGUUCUUAUCAGUUUAAUAGACUGGAAAACACAAAAUUCGUGCUUCUCUGAAUUUUGCAACAUAGUUUUCCAGCCCCCCAAUCACUGUAUAUAUUAGGGUAACAUGCAUAUGUUGAUGAAUGCAACUUAUUAAAAUGUAUUUUUU
This is a non-coding RNA of Podarcis lilfordi (Lilford's wall lizard), 185 nucleotides long. Lineage: Eukaryota; Metazoa; Chordata; Lepidosauria; Squamata; Lacertidae. The record is from the annotation of a GenBank genome assembly.